AACGCGAAGAACCUUACCAGGACUUGACAUGGGGAGGACGCAGUCAGAGAUGGCUGUUCCCGCAAGGGCCUCCUGCACAGGUGCUGCAUGGCUGUCGUCAGCUCGUGUCGUGAGAUGUUGGGUUAAGUCCCGCAACGAGCGCAACCCUCGCCUUUAGUUGCCAGCACGUUUGGGUGGGCACUCUAAAGGAACUGCCGGUGACAAGCCGGAGGAAGGUGGGGAUGACGUCAAGUCCUCAUGGCCCUUAUGUCCUGGGCUACACACGUGCUACAAUGGCGGUGACAGUGGGAAGCCAGAUCGCAAGGUCGAGCCGAUCCCAAAAAGCCGUCUCAGUUCAGAUUGCACUCUGCAACUCGGGUGCAUGAAGGUGGAAUCGCUAGUAAUCGUGGAUCAGCAUGCCACGGUGAAUACGUUCCCGGGCCUUGUACACACCGACAUA
RNAcentral lists this ribosomal RNA (439 nucleotides) under uncultured bacterium. RNAcentral's name for it is "bacterial SSU rRNA". It matches the Rfam family "Bacterial small subunit ribosomal RNA", at positions 958 to 1397 of the family's 1533-position model. The record is from RNAcentral.